AGUUGCAGCUUGGCGCACGCCGUUUGUGCUGCCAAGCUCGCCGAGAGGAGGCCCUUCCACUGCAAGCUGACCUGAGCAGGGGGGCGCUCUACAGGUGGGUCUGUGAAAGGAGACGAAAACUUGAUGGACUAGUAUGCAAAUGUACUCUUAAACCUCUUCCCCCCAACGUGAUGUCCGCCGCCGAGGGAGAAACGCCGGUGGCCGAUGGGGCUCCGCCGCCAGGGGCGCUCUACUCCUUCGGGACGCCUUGGCCGGAGCUCAACCAAGGCCUCUCCUACAGCGACACGUUCCGAUGCGCUGAUGCGGCCGCCGCCACCACCUUGAUUGAGUUCUACGCCACUAACUACAAGAGCUCCGCUCCAUUGCCAGGGUGGGUCAAGAGGAUUCGUAACGGGCAGAUAACUGUUGACGGUGAAGUUGUCACCGAUCCAGAUAUGAUUUUGAGGGAUGGUUGUAAGUUGGUAUAUCAUCGUCUCCCUUGGCAGGAGCCGUUUGCGCCAUAUUUGCUGGAAGUGCUUUACGAGGAUGAUGACAUGGUUGCCCUUAAUAAGCCUUCUGGCUUGCAAGUUCUGCCUAAAGGACUCUUCCAGCAGCGCACUGUACUAGCACAGCUUCAAUUGAAAGACUGGAAGAUGACAUCAUGCUGCUCCAAGAGAAAACAUGUGCAGUCACAUCCAGUUCCUGUUCAUCGAUUAGGAAGGGGAACAUCAGGCCUUCUGCUCUGUGCCAAGACAAAGGUCUCCAAAGUUCGACUUGCAUCUUAUUUUGCUGAAGGAGCUAUAAAUGCUGGAAAUAAAAGGGAUAAAUCAGAAUUCGUCGAGGAGCGAAAAAUUUCAAAAUUUUAUCGAGCCUUAGUGACUGGCAUACUUGCUAAUGAUGAGGUUGUGGUUACCCAACCCAUAGGGUUAGUUCAUUAUCCUGGAGUUGCAGAGGGACUUUAUGCAGCAUGUUCCUCAGGAAAGCCAGCAAUGAGCAAAGUAUGUGUUCUUGAGAGACUUGCACACCAAAAUCAUACACUUGUCCAGGUUGAAAUUCAUUCAGGACGACCCCACCAAAUACGGAUACACCUUGCAUACAUUGGGCACCCUCUUGUAGAUGAUCCUCUGUAUGGUAUUGGUGGACACCCCAAAUUUGUUGAGCCACAAUCUGCUAGCAUGGAUAGUUCUUUUGCAUAUGAUGGAGGUUACGAGAGACCUUUACAACCUGUUCCUGGAGACUGUGGCUAUCACCUACAUGCACAUUGGCUGGUUCUUUGCCAUCCAACCACAAAUAAGAUGGUAAAAAUCGCAGCUCCUCUACCACAAAUUCUACAGACUCGAGAGGAACGCCGUGCUACCACCGAGCAAAUCAGUGGUUGAACAUGUGAGCUUCAUUUCUGAGAAUGCUUGCAUGCAUCUUAUUUGAACUGAGCAACCAGCAGGUUCUCACAGGCGCUACAUAUCCAGCGAACACCUUUUAUUGUGGGAAUUCAAUAUUGUACACUAUUGAUGUGUACGUUUACUGCCUUGAUUGAGCGUGGGACGACCUUCGCGUAAUGCGUUGAGUGUAUACCGGGACCCUGCCGAACAGGGGCGAAGCCAGGCCAAAAAGUUCACCGGGGUCAUGUCUAUCAAACAACGGGGCAUCAAGCACUGUUAACCAGUUGUUUGUGAUAGGUCAAAACCGCCCAAGACCCUGUUUGUGAUAACUUUUCUUAGUGGUUUUCUAAGAAGCUAAAUCUGCUCCUGGUAUAUUACUGGGGAAUUGUUUGUGUUGAGUGUAUACCGGGAUGUAUGCCCCUGAGGCCCUGAAGAAGAAAAUAGCUUGUACACUUGCUUGAUAAUCACUCAAGGUAACAUUUUGACUUAUUUUUGACACUACAGGAUGGAUAUUUCA
Molecule: RNA transcript, 1875 nt
Organism: Panicum virgatum (switchgrass)
Lineage: Eukaryota; Viridiplantae; Streptophyta; Magnoliopsida; Poales; Poaceae
Gene name: RNA pseudouridine synthase 5-like
Exons: 15
Source: RefSeq, a predicted model, not a curated record